GACGAACGCUGGCGGCGUGCCUAACACAUGCAAGUCGAACGGGGUCCAUGGGAGCUUGCUCCCGGAAGACCUAGUGGCGAACGGGUGAGUAACACGUGAGAAACCUGCCCUGGAGUGGGGAAUAACUCGGGGAAACUCGAGCUAAUACCGCAUACCCUCGGAUGGUCGCAUGGCCGACCGAGGAAAGAUUCAUCGCUUCAGGAGGGUCUCGCGGCCUAUCAGCUAGUUGGUGGGGUAACGGCCUACCAAGGCAACGACGGGUAGCUGGUUUGAGAGAACGAUCAGCCACACUGGGACUGAGAUACGGCCCAGACUCCUACGGGAGGCAGCAGUCGAGAGGCUUCGGCAAUGGGGGAAACCCUGACCGAGCGACGCCGCGUGGGCGAUGAAGGUUGUAAGAUCGUAAAGCCCUGUCAGGAGGGAAGAACUGCCAAUGGGCAAACAGGCCAUUGGUUUGACGGUACCUCCAGAGGAAGCUCCGGCUAACUCCGUGCCAGCAGCCGCGGUAA
Molecule: ribosomal RNA, 509 nt
Filed under: uncultured bacterium
Lineage: Bacteria
Description: bacterial SSU rRNA
Rfam family: Bacterial small subunit ribosomal RNA
Source: RNAcentral